This 222-nucleotide long non-coding RNA is filed under the name Helianthus annuus (common sunflower). RNAcentral describes it as "sRNA HanXRQr2_Chr09g0363471". Lineage: Eukaryota; Viridiplantae; Streptophyta; Magnoliopsida; Asterales; Asteraceae. The record is from RNAcentral.
UUCUUCAAACCUCUGAGUUUUUAUUUCUUUCAAACCGUGUUCGCAUCUUCUCCAACUCACCAUUUUGUUUCUACUUCUUCUCUUCAACUUGUGUGUUCAUCUUCAAGUUCUGAGUUUUUAAUGGGUUCCGAGAAAUGGCUGAACAACCGCAUCCGGUUCGUGAGUUUCAUCGAAGUCAUAAUCAAAUUGCAUUGCUGGACGUGAACGUUCGUGGUGGAGCCG